ACGGGGUGCAGCAGGCGCGAAAACCUUCACAAUGCGCGCAAGCGUGAUGAGGGAAUCCCAAGUGCCCUUGUACAGCAAGGGCUUUUGUAGAAUGUAAAUAGUUUUACGAAUAAGGGCUGGUCAAGACCAGUGCCAGCCUCCGCGGUAACACUGGCAGCUCAAGUGGUGGUCGGUUUUAUUGGGCUUAAAGCAUCCGUAGCCGGUUUAGUAAGUCUUCUGUGAAAUCCUACCGCCUAACGGUAGGGCUUGCAGAGGAUACUGCUAGGCUAGGAGCCGAGAUGGGUUAGGGGUAUUCCAGGGGUAGCGGUGAAAUGCGAUAAUCCUUGGAAGACCAUCAAUGGCGAAGGCACCUAACUAGAACGGGCUCGACGGUGAGGGAUGAAAGCUAGGGGAGCAAACCGGAUUAGAUACCCGGGUAGUCCUAGCCGUAAACGAUGCGGACUGAGCGUUUCUUGGAAUUUAUUUUCAAGAAGUGUUGAAGGGAAACCGUUAAGUCCGCCGCCUGGGAGUACGUCGCAAGAC
RNAcentral lists this ribosomal RNA (522 nucleotides) under uncultured archaeon. RNAcentral's name for it is "bacterial SSU rRNA". It matches the Rfam family "Archaeal small subunit ribosomal RNA", at positions 325 to 849 of the family's 1478-position model. The record is from RNAcentral.